CAGUCGCCGCGGUAACACGGAGGGUGCAAGCGUUAAUCGGAAUUACUGGGCGUAAAGCGUGCGUAGGUGGUGGUUUAAGUCCGUUGUGAAAGCCCUGGGCUCAACCUGGGAAUUGCAGUGGAUACUGGGUCACUAGAGUGUGGUAGAGGAUAGUGGAAUUUCCGGUGUAGCAGUGAAAUGCGUAGAGAUCGGAAGGAACAUCUGUGGCGAAGGCGACUAUCUGGGCCAACACUGACACUGAGGCACGAAAGCGUGGGGAGCAAACAGGAUUAGAUACCCCAGUAGUCCCUGUCUCUUAUAC
RNAcentral lists this ribosomal RNA (301 nucleotides) under uncultured bacterium. RNAcentral's name for it is "partial 16S ribosomal RNA". It matches the Rfam family "Bacterial small subunit ribosomal RNA", at positions 509 to 807 of the family's 1533-position model. The record is from RNAcentral.